Molecule: ribosomal RNA, 253 nt
Filed under: uncultured bacterium
Lineage: Bacteria
Description: partial 16S ribosomal RNA
Rfam family: Bacterial small subunit ribosomal RNA
Source: RNAcentral
UACGGAGGGGGCGAGCGUUAUUCGGAAUUAUUGGGCGUAAAGGGCGCGUAGGCGGGCGGGCGCGUCCGGGGUGAAAUCCCACGGCUCAACCGUGGAACGGCCUCGGAUACGGGCGGUCUCGAGGGGGGUAGGGGCGUGCGGAACUCUGGGUGGAGCGGUGAAAUGCGUUGAUAUCCAGAGGAACUCCGGUGGCGAAGGCGGCACGCUGGACCCCUUCUGACGCUGAGGCGCGAAAGCCAGGGGAGCGAACGGG